CCUACGGGAGGCAGCAGUGGGGAAUAUUGGGCAAUGGGCGCAAGCCUGACCCAGCAACGCCGCGUGAAGGAAGAAGGCUUUCGGGUUGUAAACUUCUUUUCUGAGGGACGAGGAAAGUGACGUUACCUCAGGAAUAAGCAACGGCUAACUCCUUGCAGGAAGCCGCGGUAAUACGUAGGUGGCAAGCGUUAUCCGGAUUUAUUGGGUGUAAAGGGCGUGUAGGCGGGUUGGCAAGUCAGAUGUGAAACCUUAGGGCUCAACCCUGAGCCUGCAUUUGAAACUGUUUGUCUUGAGUGCUGGAGAGGCAAUCGGAAUUCCGGGUGUAGCGGUGAAAUGCGUAGAUAUAAGGAGGAACACCAGUGGCGAAGGCGGAUUGCUGGACAGCAACUGACGCUGAGGCGCGAAAGCGUGGGGAGCAAACAGGAUUAGAUACCCUUGUAGUC
Molecule: ribosomal RNA, 443 nt
Filed under: uncultured bacterium
Lineage: Bacteria
Description: partial 16S ribosomal RNA
Rfam family: Bacterial small subunit ribosomal RNA
Source: RNAcentral